This 305-nucleotide ribosomal RNA is filed under the name uncultured bacterium. RNAcentral's name for it is "bacterial SSU rRNA". It matches the Rfam family "Bacterial small subunit ribosomal RNA", at positions 335 to 639 of the family's 1533-position model. The record is from RNAcentral.
UACCUACGGGGGGCAGCAGUGAGGAAUAUUGGUCAAUGGCCGAGAGGCUGAACCAGCCAAGUCGCGUGAGGGAUGACGGCCCUACGGGUUGUAAACCUCUUUUGUCGGGGAGCAAAGAGAGUCACGUGUGGCUCAUUGAGAGUACCCGAAGAAAAAGCAUCGGCUAACUCCGUGCCAGCAGCCGCGGUAAUACGGAGGAUGCGAGCGUUAUCCGGAUUUAUUGGGUUUAAAGGGUGCGUAGGCGGGAUGCCAAGUCAGCGGUAAAAAUGCGGUGCUCAACGCCGUCGAGCCGUUGAAACCGGCGU